AACGCAGGUGGUUUGGUAAGUCAGGGGUGAAAGUCCACAGCUUAACUGUGGCACUGCCUUUGAUACUACCUUUCUUGAGUGCAUGAGGGGGAAGCGGAAUUCCGAGUGUAGAGGUGAAAUUCGUAGAUAUUCGGAGGAACACCGGUGGCGAAGGCGGCUUCCUGGCAUGUAACUGGCACUCAUGUUCGAAAGCGUGGGGAGCAAACAGGAUUAGAUACCCUGGUAGUCCACGCCCUAAACUAUGGGCACUAGGUGUGGGAGGUAUCGACCCCUUCCGUGCCGCAGCUAACGCAUUAAGUGCCCCGCCUGGGGAGUACGGCCGCAAGGUUGAA
This 332-nucleotide ribosomal RNA is filed under the name uncultured bacterium. Its description in RNAcentral is "bacterial SSU rRNA". It matches the Rfam family "Bacterial small subunit ribosomal RNA", at positions 568 to 898 of the family's 1533-position model. The record is from RNAcentral.